GCAGAGAGGGAGCACAGCCUUCCUUGCCAAACUGUAGUUUUAUUCCUGUGAGAGUAAAAUUUUCCAUUGAAUGACUAUUUCUGAGGCGAUGGUAUCAGUCACGGGUGAUCUUCUGAGCCGAGUGGGAGCUGAGCGCUUGCUUGUGUCGGAGGGAGCUCAGAUUCCGAAAGGGAAAGGUGGUUUUUUCACAGCAACCAGUGUAACAGCAGGGCAGCAAGAGCCGCAGAUUUAGGACGGCUGAGCCUCGCGUGCAGGCCUGCGGGGGGCUCCAGAGGAGGCAAAGGCUGCGACUUUUGGGGUGGCCACAGCGCCCGUGUGGGAGGCUUCUCUGGGAGAGGGUGAAGCCAGACCCCGGCCCUGAGCCCCGCGUGGCCUUGCCAGGCCCUCGCAGCCCCCCGCUUGUCCCUGCAAACACUCGGGGUGCAGGAGGCAGCUGCCUGGCAGGUAGGGGACUGGGAACCUGGGACCCCGCCGACAGGUUGGUUGUGGAGCUGGGUUCCAGCCCCGGCCCUGGCUGACGGCUGUGUGCUCUGAGCAGAGACUCCAUCUCUGUCUGGGGAUCCUCAGCUCAAACAUCGAAGCACAGUACCUUCCCUCGUGGGCGUUGUGAAAUGUGGAGCGAGCGCUGUCUCCCUUCUGCGGCCCUCGGCCCCAGCGCGGCCUCCUGGGUGCGGGCCUCACCCCGGCUGGCGGCGCGGGCCCGGCUCCUCCCUGCGGAGCGCAGUGAUGGGCGGGUUGUUCUAGAACCGCCGCGAAAGCCCCGACGCUGCCGGGUGAGCACCGGCCGUGCGCCCUCCACCCGGCGCGGCCUGACCCGCGUCCUGCUCCGCGCGCGCCCGAUGGCGGAACCGGAAAAACUGCGAUUACAGUCCUGA
RNAcentral lists this long non-coding RNA (875 nucleotides) under Chinchilla lanigera (long-tailed chinchilla). RNAcentral describes it as "lncRNA (ENSCLAG00000027514.1)". Lineage: Eukaryota; Metazoa; Chordata; Mammalia; Rodentia; Chinchillidae. The record is from RNAcentral.